AGUGAGUUAAUAACUGAAAGCAGCGCAAAUGUUUUUAUGGAAUAUAGUAAGUGCUAUACCCACAUCUAUAGCUAAAGAUUUUACAGCAGUCGUAAUUUCCAUGUGAAUUUAUUAUCUGCAACUUCAGAUCUUUAGAGGAGUUUAGGUUGGAAGUAUUCCCCAGUGCGGCAGUAUUUCUGAAUAACCUUGAGUUUGGAUUUCUGAUUCUAGAACUAUGUACACAGUGAGUGUAUGUGAUUCACCGGUGACUGUUUAAUGUGUUUCCCAAAGAGGGAAAUCGAAAGAGAGGAAGAAGGGAGAGGCAACUCUGCCUAGUGAAAAUGAACCAGAUGGUUAGAGAGACGCAUAAAACACUUUCAGGAGGCAGGAAAGAGGAAAAUGAUCAGAAGAGGAUCAAUAAAAGGUCAUAUUUUUUCUUUACCUUGGAAGUAACUCUUAAAGGAGAUUGACUAUAACGUGCACCGACAUUCAUUUUUUUUCCAGAGGAAAUUGCAAUAUCUGAUGUCUUAAUAUGCAAUAUGAAGUGUUCCUUCAAGUAGUCUCUCAAGAGGCAGAAAAGGAUGAGGAAAUUACAGACAGCUCUUGACUGCAGACCGCCCGCGUGCAUUUCCUGAUCUCUAGAAGCUGUCAGGGGUGAGCUGAAGAAGGGAGAGGAAUCAAAACCCGAAUCAGCCAACUUUGCUGCUUACUAGACUCUCUGGAAAAAUAUCUUGGGAGGGAAAGCCUGGAGUUAUUGACUAACAUGAAAUGUUUAGUGUUUCACUCCUUCUGAACAAUUCACAUCCCAUAUCUCAGAUGACAGAAAGUGAAGCAUCACUUUGAUAUUCUAAUUUUGAAAAUUCUUGAAGGAUCCCAAAGUCAGAACAUGAGGACAUUAUGAAGGAUAUUUGAAAUGAUGAAUGGGUUGCCCAUUAUUUAUCUCCACGCAUUCCUGUUUUCCUGACAUUCAUUACUUUUCCUUUAAUUCUGGGAGAUGAUUAUCUCCUGGCAUGAUGCCAGAGUCUCUGGGAGUAAAAACUGAUGAAUCACAUGGCAAUGAAAAUGCUUUUCAAAAUUUGUAUUUUUGAAUGUUUAUUAACUAUUUUGCAGAAUCUUGUUUUCCAUGUAAAGGGUGUGUUUAUUUCAUAAUGAAAGUCAAGCUGACAUCUCUUUUCACUGGUUUUCAUCAGCACUGCUAGAAGGUAAUCAAAUUUGGUUCAUAAAACUAGGAAAUCUUGUUUCUUUGAGUUUUUCCCAGACUUUGUCACGUAGGGAAAAGAUUCAGUCCCAGCCUACUGGAUCCUCAAACCUCUUAUGGCAGGACUGUAAUAAUUGGUCUUUAGCACAAAAGACUCUUUGUGUUUCAGUCAUUAUUGUUUCCAGAAAGUAUAUUGUGUUGAAUAUCAAGAGCAUCUGGAAAGAGCUAUUAUUAAAUAAGGAAAUUUCAUAUGCUGUUCAGGAAAGACCUUUAUCAUUUCAGUUAAAUUUUGCAUUUUUUAUUUGAAAAUAAAUUGCAAGUUCGUUACUGACAGGGUUCAGAACAUGUUACCUCAAAAUAUGGCACCUUGAUAUAUUGAAUAUUUUAAGCUGAAGAAGUUUGAGAAAAGGUCAGAAGCAGUAAAGUCUCUCUGACCUUCACCUGCCCUUUCCCCCUGAAGUAGUUUGCAAGACUCUCACGUGAGAAGUGCCCUCGCUGUACGUGGAAGAAAGGAGCAGCCUUGUCUCUCAGAUUGAGGGAAAAGGAUCCAAAUAAACAGGCCUUACUGAAUUCCUCCCACUUAUUACGUUUAGUUUAUACCUAAUUUAUUCUAUCCUUUUCUCCAUGACUGUCCACUCUUCAUCUAACCUGGCAUGAAAACACUCAGGUGUAACCAUUUUUUUGACUCUUCAUUUCUUUAAGGAGGCUCCUGUGUCACAUAAAACUUAUUUUUUUAAAACUUAUAUUAAAUAAAUUUGCAUACUUUUCUCUUGUUAA
This is a long non-coding RNA of Canis lupus familiaris (dog), 1954 nucleotides long. RefSeq lists it as uncharacterized. NCBI's taxonomy places the organism in Eukaryota, Metazoa, Chordata, Mammalia, Carnivora, Canidae. The record is from RefSeq and is a predicted model, not a curated record. The transcript has 2 exons.